This 185-nucleotide non-coding RNA is filed under the name Pasteurellaceae bacterium 15-036681. RNAcentral's name for it is "Lysine riboswitch aptamer". It matches the Rfam family "Lysine riboswitch aptamer". Rfam says of the family: Riboswitches are metabolite binding domains within certain messenger RNAs that serve as precision sensors for their corresponding targets. Allosteric rearrangement of mRNA structure is mediated by ligand binding, and this results in modulation of gene expression. Lineage: Bacteria; Pseudomonadati; Pseudomonadota; Gammaproteobacteria; Pasteurellales; Pasteurellaceae. The record is from Rfam by way of RNAcentral. RNAcentral also lists the same sequence under 1 other name.
UAAAGGAAGAGAGGUGCAACACUCAGGCAACUUAUUUUAGGGAACUAGGCCCGUUUGAGAAUAAGUGAUGGGAGUGCUUGCCGAGGUGUGAAUUCACUAGAACGGAAUGAUCAUCGGCUGAGUCAGGUUGAAUCCUAUCAGCUGUCGUUUAAAACUUGUGUUUUAAAUGGAGUGCUCUAAAUUGU